GCCCCCGUAGCUCAGGGGACAGAGCGCGGACCUCCUAAGUCCGGCGUCGCAGGUUCGAGUCCUGCCGGGGGCG
This 73-nucleotide transfer RNA is filed under the name Streptosporangiales bacterium. It matches the Rfam family "tRNA". Rfam says of the family: Transfer RNA (tRNA) molecules are approximately 80 nucleotides in length. Lineage: Bacteria; Bacillati; Actinomycetota; Actinomycetes; Streptosporangiales. The record is from Rfam by way of RNAcentral.